UUCGAACAGGGUGUUAAAGGCCACCUAUUUGAUCAAAAUCCGGAUUGAUUUUCAUGUACGUGAUUCCUCCCUUUCCUCUAGUCUUGUCUUACCAAGUAUCCCCUUUCUUUGAAAUUUCCCAAAAUAUAAUCUACUUCUCCAAUAGGCUAGAUUUUCUAUUGCGGAGGAAUCGAUAUUGGUUAUUUCAAUGUUGUGGUGCAGAACUACUAACACCCUUUCUUCAAUUAAUUUACGUGAUUUACUACAUAUAAUGUUCUUUUUUUUUUUCAUUUUUUGUUUUGACUUUUUGAUGGGAAAAUGGAUUUAAGUACUAUAGUUUCUCUCUCUCUCUCUCUCUCUCUCUCUCUCUCUCUCUCUCUCUCUCUCUCUCUCUCUUCUUAUUUAUUUUUGAGUUCAAUGUCAUUAUAAAUUUCUUUUUUCAUUUUAUGCUGUGGAAUGUUCUCUAUCUUUCCCUUUUUCUGGAGAGGCUCAAGUUUUCCUCUGCCGACUACCUUUCCGAUGGAGAGGAAUUGCAAACCGCACCCUUUUCUCAUAAUCAUUGAUAUAAUCUAGUGCACAGCUUUUUAAUACUUUUUCUCAAUUUUCAAAAUUUAAAUAUUUUAUUUUCUCUCUCUUUCUUUCUUCUUGUUCAUUUAUGAGUUUAGUGUCUUUAUUAAUUUAUUCUGUGAAUGAGCUGAUCUCUAUGUUCUUUUCAUUUUUCAUUUCCUGGUUUUGGAGGUUGUCUUGAAUUUCCCCUUUUUUGAAGAGGGUUUCCAGAUAAAGCUGUAGGUAUAUAUGUUUGCAAAUGUUUAAAUUCCAAAUUUCACGUUGAGAGCCACAAUAAGUUGGAAGGAAGUAGAACUGCAAAGUAAUUUACAUUAUUGUACACUGAAUUAGUAUCAUGGACGAAUUAGCUUUGUGUUUCUGACUACACUGAUCAAGUGUUGUUCGUCAAUAUUUCUCAGGUUACUAAACAAAUUUGCUGCUGCAAGAGAGGUGAUGUUGCAAAACAAGUGUUAAUUGAAGCCCUGUCCUCCAGUACCAAAUUUCCUCCCAAGACGUGCUUCUUCUUUAGCUGUAUUACAGUUGCUGUUUUUUGUCAUGUUUGGCCUUUUAUUCCUACCUAGAUCAUGUUUUUUCAGUGCUUGAUUGUAACUGGAGCAGCGAUACAGUUUUUUGUGACUAUUCCAUGAUUAGCAACAAAAUUGUUUUGAGGUAUUAUGCUAAAAUUUUUGGUCAUAUUGUACUCCAAGAAUGUGAUUUCGCUCAAUCAAUUUAAGUCUUUCUAUGUGUGUGCUUUUU
RNAcentral lists this long non-coding RNA (1281 nucleotides) under Coffea arabica (coffee). Its description in RNAcentral is "long non-coding RNA (CARA_LNC003768)". Lineage: Eukaryota; Viridiplantae; Streptophyta; Magnoliopsida; Gentianales; Rubiaceae. The record is from RNAcentral.